UUUCGAUCAAAAUUUAAGCUGCCUUUUUCAGGUUUUCAACUCAAAACCCUUUUGGUCUCAAAACGCCCUUUGUGAGUUUUCGCCUUGGCCUCUCCUAUUUUUCUUUUUUUUUAAUUUUUUUAAUUUUUUGAUUUUUUUCUUAUUUUUUCUCAAGGCGCCCUUUGCGGGUUUUCACCUUGGCCUUUCCCCUUUCAGGUAAAAU
This 202-nucleotide long non-coding RNA is filed under the name Gossypium raimondii (Peruvian cotton). RNAcentral describes it as "long non-coding RNA (GRAI_LNC007331)". Lineage: Eukaryota; Viridiplantae; Streptophyta; Magnoliopsida; Malvales; Malvaceae. The record is from RNAcentral.